RNAcentral lists this ribosomal RNA (2902 nucleotides) under Escherichia coli. Its description in RNAcentral is "bacterial LSU rRNA". It matches the Rfam family "Bacterial large subunit ribosomal RNA". Lineage: Bacteria; Pseudomonadati; Pseudomonadota; Gammaproteobacteria; Enterobacterales; Enterobacteriaceae. The record is from RNAcentral.
UUAAGCGACUAAGCGUACACGGUGGAUGCCCUGGCAGUCAGAGGCGAUGAAGGACGUGCUAAUCUGCGAUAAGCGUCGGUGAGGUGAUAUGAACCGUUAUAACCGGCGAUUUCCGAAUGGGGAAACCCAGUGUGUUUCGACACACUAUCAUUAACUGAAUCCAUAGGUUAAUGAGGCGAACCGGGGGAACUGAAACAUCUAAGUACCCCGAGGAAAAGAAAUCAACCGAGAUUCCCCCAGUAGCGGCGAGCGAACGGGGAGGAGCCCAGAGCCUGAAUCAGUGUGUGUGUUAGUGGAAGCGUCUGGAAAGGCGCGCGAUACAGGGUGACAGCCCCGUACACAAAAAUGCACAUACUGUGAGCUCGAUGAGUAGGGCGGGACACGUGGUAUCCUGUCUGAAUAUGGGGGGACCAUCCUCCAAGGCUAAAUACUCCUGACUGACCGAUAGUGAACCAGUACCGUGAGGGAAAGGCGAAAAGAACCCCGGCGAGGGGAGUGAAAAAGAACCUGAAACCGUGUACGUACAAGCAGUGGGAGCCUCUUAAUGGGGUGACUGCGUACCUUUUGUAUAAUGGGUCAGCGACUUAUAUUCUGUAGCAAGGUUAACCGAAUAGGGGAGCCGAAGGGAAACCGAGUCUUAACUGGGCGUUAAGUUGCAGGGUAUAGACCCGAAACCCGGUGAUCUAGCCAUGGGCAGGUUGAAGGUUGGGUAACACUAACUGGAGGACCGAACCGACUAAUGUUGAAAAAUUAGCGGAUGACUUGUGGCUGGGGGUGAAAGGCCAAUCAAACCGGGAGAUAGCUGGUUCUCCCCGAAAGCUAUUUAGGUAGCGCCUCGUGAAUUCAUCUCCGGGGGUAGAGCACUGUUUCGGCAAGGGGGUCAUCCCGACUUACCAACCCGAUGCAAACUGCGAAUACCGGAGAAUGUUAUCACGGGAGACACACGGCGGGUGCUAACGUCCGUCGUGAAGAGGGAAACAACCCAGACCGCCAGCUAAGGUCCCAAAGUCAUGGUUAAGUGGGAAACGAUGUGGGAAGGCCCAGACAGCCAGGAUGUUGGCUUAGAAGCAGCCAUCAUUUAAAGAAAGCGUAAUAGCUCACUGGUCGAGUCGGCCUGCGCGGAAGAUGUAACGGGGCUAAACCAUGCACCGAAGCUGCGGCAGCGACACUAUGUGUUGUUGGGUAGGGGAGCGUUCUGUAAGCCUGUGAAGGUGGCCUGUGAGGGUUGCUGGAGGUAUCAGAAGUGCGAAUGCUGACAUAAGUAACGAUAAAGCGGGUGAAAAGCCCGCUCGCCGGAAGACCAAGGGUUCCUGUCCAACGUUAAUCGGGGCAGGGUGAGUCGACCCCUAAGGCGAGGCCGAAAGGCGUAGUCGAUGGGAAACAGGUUAAUAUUCCUGUACUUGGUGUUACUGCGAAGGGGGGACGGAGAAGGCUAUGUUGGCCGGGCGACGGUUGUCCCGGUUUAAGCGUGUAGGCUGGUUUUCCAGGCAAAUCCGGAAAAUCAAGGCUGAGGCGUGAUGACGAGGCACUACGGUGCUGAAGCGACAAAUGCCCUGCUUCCAGGAAAAGCCUCUAAGCAUCAGGUAACAUUAAAUCGUACCCCAAACCGACACAGGUGGUCAGGUAGAGAAUACCAAGGCGCUUGAGAGAACUCGGGUGAAGGAACUAGGCAAAAUGGUGCCGUAACUUCGGGAGAAGGCACGCUGAUAUGUAGGUGAAGCGACUUGCUCGUGGAGCUGAAAUCAGUCGAAGAUACCAGCUGGCUGCAACUGUUUAUUAAAAACACAGCACUGUGCAAACACGAAAGUGGACGUAUACGGUGUGACGCCUGCCCGGUGCCGGAAGGUUAAUUGAUGGGGUUAGCGGCAACGCGAAGCUCUUGAUCGAAGCCCCGGUAAACGGCGGCCGUAACUAUAACGGUCCUAAGGUAGCGAAAUUCCUUGUCGGGUAAGUUCCGACCUGCACGAAUGGCGUAAUGAUGGCCAGGCUGUCUCCACCCGAGACUCAGUGAAAUUGAACUCGCUGUGAAGAUGCAGUGUACCCGCGGCAAGACGGAAAGACCCCGUGAACCUUUACUAUAGCUUGACACUGAACAUUGAGCCUUGAUGUGUAGGAUAGGUGGGAGGCUUUGAAGUGUGGACGCCAGUCUGCAUGGAGCCGACCUUGAAAUACCACCCUUUAAUGUUUGAUGUUCUAACGUGGGCCCGUAAUCCGGGUUGCGGACAGUGUCUGGUGGGUAGUUUGACUGGGGCGGUCUCCUCCUAAAGAGUAACGGAGGAGCACGAAGGUUGGCUAAUCCUGGUCGGACAUCAGGAGGUUAGUGCAAUGGCAUAAGCCAGCUUGACUGCGAGCGUGACGGCGCGAGCAGGUGCGAAAGCAGGUCAUAGUGAUCCGGUGGUUCUGAAUGGAAGGGCCAUCGCUCAACGGAUAAAAGGUACUCCGGGGAUAACAGGCUGAUACCGCCCAAGAGUUCAUAUCGACGGCGGUGUUUGGCACCUCGAUGUCGGCUCAUCACAUCCUGGGGCUGAAGUAGGUCCCAAGGGUAUGGCUGUUCGCCAUUUAAAGUGGUACGCGAGCUGGGUUUAGAACGUCGUGAGACAGUUCGGUCCCUAUCUGCCGUGGGCGCUGGAGAACUGAGGGGGGCUGCUCCUAGUACGAGAGGACCGGAGUGGACGCAUCACUGGUGUUCGGGUUGUCAUGCCAAUGGCACUGCCCGGUAGCUAAAUGCGGAAGAGAUAAGUGCUGAAAGCAUCUAAGCACGAAACUUGCCCCGAGAUGAGUUCUCCCUGACCCUUUAAGGGUCCUGAAGGAACGUUGAAGACGACGACGUUGAUAGGCCGGGUGUGUAAGCGCAGCGAUGCGUUGAGCUAACCGGUACUAAUGAACCGUGAGGCUUAACCUU